Molecule: ribosomal RNA, 527 nt
Filed under: uncultured bacterium
Lineage: Bacteria
Description: bacterial SSU rRNA
Rfam family: Bacterial small subunit ribosomal RNA
Source: RNAcentral
ACGUAGGUGGCAAGCGUUGUCCGGAAUUACUGGGCGUAAAGGGCGUGUAGGCGGGGGGACAAGUCAGAUGUGAAAUACCGCGGCUUAACUGCGGGGGUGCAUCUGAAACUGUUCUUCUUGAGUGUCGGAGAGGAAAGUGGAAUUCCCAGUGUAGCGGUGAAAUGCGUAGAGAUUGGGAGGAACACCAGUGGCGAAGGCGGCUUUCUGGACGAUAACUGACGCUGAGGCGCGAAAGCGUGGGGAGCAAACAGGAUUAGAUACCCUGGUAGUCCACGCUGUAAACGAUGGAUACUAGGUGUAGGAGGUAUCGACCCCUUCUGUGCCGGAGUUAACACAAUAAGUAUCCCGCCUGGGGAGUACGGCCGCAAGGCUGAAACUCAAAGGAAUUGACGGGGGCCCGCACAAGCAGUGGAGUAUGUGGUUUAAUUCGAAGCAACGCGAAGAACCUUACCAGGGCUUGACAUCCCUCUGACUGGCAUAGAGAUAUGCCUUCCCUUCGGGGCAGAGGAGACAGGUGGUGCAUGGUU